RNAcentral lists this ribosomal RNA (2033 nucleotides) under Clostridioides difficile. Its description in RNAcentral is "bacterial LSU rRNA". It matches the Rfam family "Bacterial large subunit ribosomal RNA", at positions 350 to 2403 of the family's 2925-position model. Lineage: Bacteria; Bacillati; Bacillota; Clostridia; Peptostreptococcales; Peptostreptococcaceae. The record is from RNAcentral.
ACCCACCACAGAAGGUAAUAGUCCUGUAUGUUAAACGAGAAGACUUUAGAUAUGAUCCAGAGUACCACGGGACACGUGAAACCCUGUGGGAAGCAGGAGGGACCACCCUCCAAGGCUAAAUACUACCUAGUGACCGAUAGCGUAUAGUACCGUGAGGGAAAGGUGAAAAGAACCCCGGGAGGGGAGUGAAAUAGAACCUGAAACCCUGCACUUACAAGCUGUGGAAGCACAUUUCUUGUGUGACCGCGUACUUUUUGUAGAACGGGCCAACGAGUUACGUUAAGUAGCAAGGUUAAGCACUUAAGGUGCGGAGCCGUAGCGAAAGCGAGUUUUAACUGAGCGUUCAGUUACUUGACGUAGACCCGAAACCGGGCGACCUACCCAUGAGCAGGAUGAAGCGAAAGUAAAAUUUCGUGGAGGUCCGAACCCACGAGCGUUGAAAAGCUCGGGGAUGACUUGUGGGUAGCGGUGAAAUUCCAAUCGAGCCCGGAGAUAGCUGGUUCUCCCCGAAAUAGCUUUAGGGCUAGCCUCAAGGUGAGAGAUACGGAGGUAGAGCACUGAAUGUCCUAGGGGGUAUUGCACCUACCGAAGACUAUCAAACUCCGAAUGCCGUCAUCUUAUACUUGGGAGUCAGACUGUGGGUGAUAAGAUUCAUAGUCGAAAGGGCAACAGCCCAGAUCGUCAGCUAAGGUCCCUAAAUGUAAGUUAAGUGGUAAAGGAUGUGGGAUUGCACAGACAACCAGGAUGUUGGCUUAGAAGCAGCCACUCAUUCAAAGAGUGCGUAAUAGCUCACUGGUCGAGUGAUCCUGCGCCGAAGAUUUCCGGGGCUAAAACUUACUACCGAAGCUACGGCAUCAGUAAUGAUGGGUAGGGGAGCUUCCCAUACGGGUUGAAGCAUGACCGUAAGGACAUGUGGACAGUAUGGGAGUGAGAAUGUUGGCAUGAGUAGCGAGAUGUGGGUGAGAAUCCCACAGGCCGUAAACCCAAGGUUUCCAGGGGAAGGUUCGUCCGCCCUGGGUUAGUCGGGACCUAAGCUGAGGCCGAAAGGCGUAGGUGAUGGACAACAGGUUGAUAUUCCUGUACUACCGAUAACCGUUUGAGAGAAGGGAUGACACAGUAGGAUAAGCUAAGCACACUGUUGGUUAUGUGUGCCCAAGCAUUGAGGCAGUCAAAGUAGGCAAAUCCGCUUUGAUAAUGCUGGGAUGUGAUGGGGAGCGAAAUUUAGUAGCGAAGUAGCUGAUUUCACACUGUCAAGAAAAGUCUCUAUCGAGGUUAAAGGUACCCGUACCGCAAACCGACACAGGUGGGUGAGGAGAGUAUCCUAAGGCCAGCGAGAGAACUGUUGUUAAGGAACUCGGCAAAAUGACCCCGUAACUUAGGGAUAAGGGGUGCCACCAUCAGGUGGCCGCAGAGAAUAGGCCCAAGCGACUGUUUACCAAAAACAUAGGUUUCUGCUAAGUCGCAAGACGAUGUAUAGGAGCUGACGCCUGCCCGGUGCUGGAAGGUUAAGGGGAUCUGUUAGAGCAAUCGAAGCAGUGAACUUAAGCCCCAGUAAACGGCGGCCGUAACUAUAACGGUCCUAAGGUAGCGAAAUUCCUUGUCGGGUAAGUUCCGACCCGCACGAAAGGCGUAACGAUUUGGGCACUGUCUCAACAACAGACUCGGUGAAAUUGUAAUUCCGGUGAAGAUGCCGGAUACCUGCGACAGGACGGAAAGACCCCAUGGAGCUUUACUGUAGCUUGACAUUGGGUCUUGGUACUACAUGUACAGGAUAGGUGGGAGGCUUUGAAACCAGGACGCCAGUUUUGGCGGAGCCAUCCUUGGGAUACCACCCUUGUAGUACUGGGACUCUAACCAUAGGCCAUGAAUCUGGUCUUGGGACACUGUCAGGUGGGCAGUUUGACUGGGGCGGUCGCCUCCCAAAAGGUAACGGAGGCGCUCAAAGGUUCUCUCAGUACGGUCGGAAAUCGUACGUAGAGUGUAAAGGCAAAAGAGAGCUUGAUUGCAAGACAUACAGGUCGAGCAAGGAUGAA